GUAAGAAGUUAUGACCUGCAGUCUAUCGGAGUCAGAUAUAAACCAAGUUUAGGUGGAGUUUAUUUUCGGUAUGCUGACAUUUUCGUACUGCGUGCUAGCUAGCAUGACGGAGUUUCUAUACAGCUGGGUGGGUGCUCUGCUACUGAUGUUGAACUUUAUUUUGUUCAUACGGUUAAUUAUUAGAGUUGCCAACCGUCCCGUAAAAACAGAAUCGUCUGGUAUUCAGAGAAAAUAUUUCGCGUUUCGCACUGAGGUGAAAAGGAACACAGUUUGUCCCGGACUUCAGCUACAAUGAAAAAGACACAAAGCUGAAGCUGCACAGCUGCCUCUUCUUCUCUCAUUCUCUCCCGUUUCUACUUCAAUCACGAAACUGAUCAAUGAUCAGCUGAUCGGCUUUUCUCUCUUGUUUAUUUAUCGCCCACUUUGCGCCAGAAAGAGGAAACCAGCGGAGGUCGCGCUAAACAACAGCAGCACGUUUAAGCUUGAUCAGCUGUUGUUAGAAUUUAUUUAAUAUUAAUUUCUAGUAUCAGCUGAUGUUUGCUGGAGCCACAGCUGUAAAGCUGCUGGUCAUGAUAUCAGCUUGGUUAUCUGGUGAGAGGGAAACAUGCAGAUGAAACCAGGAGAUGUCCUUACUGAAUCAUCAGAGCUGAACAGGUGACAGCUGGUAACUGUGCAGGGGCGGAUCUAGCAAAGUGUUGCCAGGGGGCCAGCAGGUUUGAUGUGACUCAGAGGAUCAGUUUGAUCAGCAGGUGUUUGAUCUUUUUCCGCCCAGUGGAAGCUUUUAAUAUCUAAAGAGGUGAAGUUGGAAGAGGCGAUUCAUUCUGAUAAAUGGCUUGAAAUGGUGCCGGAUCAUGGCCAUCUAUGGACCCGGUGUUAAGUGGCACAGUGGUUCAGAGGCUGAACUUUGAACGACAUGAUGACACAGCUCUGAGACCUGCUGCCUGCAGGACACAAAUCAUCUGUGGAGAUUCUGAGGUCAGCGAAAUAAAAAUGGAGAGUGGGUGAUGUUCCUGAAUAAAGAUAAAACAUCCACACUUUCAUAUGUAUUAUAGAAGAGGAUGAUCACAGCAGCAACAGCUUCACCAAAUGCAGAAAAUUACAGUAUUUAUUGGAACUUCAAUAGACAUGAAUACAUUUUUUCCUUGUUCCUUUGAGGCAUCAGUGCUGAACUGCUCACAACAUGCUGCUCUUUUUCC
This is a long non-coding RNA of Oreochromis aureus, 1196 nucleotides long. The record is from Ensembl. NCBI's taxonomy places the organism in Eukaryota, Metazoa, Chordata, Actinopteri, Cichliformes, Cichlidae.